Molecule: ribosomal RNA, 1341 nt
Filed under: Triticum aestivum (bread wheat)
Lineage: Eukaryota; Viridiplantae; Streptophyta; Magnoliopsida; Poales; Poaceae
Description: partial small subunit ribosomal RNA
Source: RNAcentral
AUGGGCGUCGAGGUCAAGGACCACUGCGACAUGGGCGUCAAGGUUAAGGAUCACUGCAGCGGCCUUUUGCUUUGCCGCGAGUCGAGCUACCGUGCACUGGCGUGCCCGCGCGAGUAUGUCGUCAACCCGGCCACCCGGCGGUGGGCGCGUUUGCCCAAACGCCCCCCGCCGCUCAUGAUAGGAUUCGACCACACCGCCCACCUCGCGUUUGAGCCCGCUGUGUCGCCGCACUACCAGGUCUUUCUGAUCCCACGCGUGCCAUGGCGACUGCCAUCCAACGGAGAAUCUGACGACGACGAUGACAACCCGUUGCUCGAAUUGGAGUGGCCUCCCGCGUCAUAUCUCGUUGAUGUGUUCUCGUCGGUGACUCAACGAUGGGAUACGACAACCUUCCUUCGGGAAGGGGAAGCUGCCGGGAUCAUCGCCGACAUGCAGUUGGAUUGGCGGUAUGAUCCAUCUCUCUAUCAUGCCGUAUACUGGCAAAGCGCACUCUACAUCCAUUGCCAACAUGGCUAUCUUACGAGAAUGUCCUUGUCAGAUCACUCGUACAGAGUAAUUAAACUACCAGGUGCCGGUGGAUUGAUAGUAUAUUCCAACCACCGUCUCGGGAGAUCAUCGCAAGGGGUGUAUUGUGCAAUACUUGAUGGCUCAAUACUUGAUGGUUCGAAACGACUUCAGGUUUGGUAUCUCAGUGAAUCGUGCGGUCGAAUAGAAUGGGUGUUAAAACAUGAUACCCGUCUUAAGACCGUCUAUGCUCAACAGCUGGGCAAACAAUGGAUCUUACAACAGGUUAACCUUCGUAAGGAGUACCCUGACUAUGACUGGAACUCAGAGGAUAACGUUCUUGACAUUGAAGACGUUGUUGAAGAGGCUGUAGAUGUCAUUGAAAAUGAAGAGCACAUAUCUUAUGGUUUCCUUGGAUUUCAUCCUUAUAAAGAGGACUUGGGCAGUUCAUGGACAUGUCAAGCGUAUGGAACACCAUAUGGAGAGACAUGCGUAUCUUUUCCAUACACGCCUUGCUGGGUAAGCGCGUUUCCUGGAAACGAAUUAGAAUCUCUUCUUUUAGACGAGAAGCUAUAUAGGAACAAGCUAGAACUGGAAGCUCAACUUGAGGAGGAAUCCUACUUCACCUACAUGGGCGAGUACGAGCUGCGCAAGCAGUCUGGGCGUGCCAAGAGGGUCAAGGACUCCGCCGCCAAGAUUCGUCGCAGACACCACAUUGCCGCUCGGCAGGAACCCAUCAUCACCGACAUGAAGUCGAAGGUGAAUCGCACCGGGGCGACCAAGUUCAGCCUUGGCAAGGCCACCACAGAACUAGUCACCGCCAUAGUUGGAUCCUAG